AGAGUUGAUCAUGGCUCAGGAUGAACGCUGGCGGCGUGCUUAACACAUGCAAGUCGAACGAUUAAACCGCCCUCGGGCGGACAUAGAGUGGCGAACGGGUGAGUAACACGUGACCAACCUGCCCCGCACUCCGGGAUAACCUGCGGAAACGCAGGCUAAUACCGGAUACUCCGCGCAGGCCGCAUGGCCCGCGCGGGAAAGCCCUUACGGUGCGGGAUGGGGUCGCGGCCCAUUAGGUAGACGGCGGGGUGACGGCCCACCGUGCCCGCGAUGGGUAGCCGAGCUGAGAGGCUGACCGGCCACAUUGGGACUGAGAUACGGCCCAGACUCCUACGGGAGGCAGCAGUGGGGAAUUUUGCGCAAUGGGGGCAAACCCCCUGACGCAGCAACGCCGCGUGCGGGAAGAAGGCCUUCGGGUUGUAAACCGCUUUCAGCGGGGACGAUAAUGACGGUACCCGCAGAAGAAGCUCCGGCUAACUACGUGCCAGCCGCCGC
RNAcentral lists this ribosomal RNA (495 nucleotides) under uncultured bacterium. Its description in RNAcentral is "bacterial SSU rRNA". It matches the Rfam family "Bacterial small subunit ribosomal RNA", at positions 8 to 518 of the family's 1533-position model. The record is from RNAcentral.